This 1260-nucleotide ribosomal RNA is filed under the name Staphylococcus pseudintermedius. RNAcentral's name for it is "bacterial SSU rRNA". It matches the Rfam family "Bacterial small subunit ribosomal RNA", at positions 1 to 1242 of the family's 1533-position model. Lineage: Bacteria; Bacillati; Bacillota; Bacilli; Caryophanales; Staphylococcaceae. The record is from RNAcentral.
UUUAUGGAGAGUUUGAUCCUGGCUCAGGAUGAACGCUGGCGGCGUGCCUAAUACAUGCAAGUCGAGCGAACAGAUAAGGAGCUUGCUCCUUUGACGUUAGCGGCGGACGGGUGAGUAACACGUGGGUAACCUACCUAUAAGACUGGAAUAACUCCGGGAAACCGGGGCUAAUGCCGGAUAACAUGUUGAACCGCAUGGUUCUACAGUGAAAGACGGUCUUGCUGUCACUUAUAGAUGGACCCGCGCCGUAUUAGCUAGUUGGUGGGGUAACGGCCUACCAAGGCGACGAUACGUAGCCGACCUGAGAGGGUGAUCGGCCACACUGGAACUGAGACACGGUCCAGACUCCUACGGGAGGCAGCAGUAGGGAAUCUUCCGCAAUGGGCGAAAGCCUGACGGAGCAACGCCGCGUGAGUGAUGAAGGUCUUCGGAUCGUAAAGCUCUGUUGUUAGGGAAGAACAAAUGUGUAAGUAACUGUGCACAUCUUGACGGUACCUAACCAGAAAGCCACGGCUAACUACGUGCCAGCAGCCGCGGUAAUACGUAGGUGGCAAGCGUUAUCCGGAAUUAUUGGGCGUAAAGCGCGCGUAGGCGGUUUUUUAAGUCUGAUGUGAAAGCCCACGGCUCAACCGUGGAGGGUCAUUGGAAACUGGAAAACUUGAGUGCAGAAGAGGAAAGUGGAAUUCCAUGUGUAGCGGUGAAAUGCGCAGAGAUAUGGAGGAACACCAGUGGCGAAGGCGGCUUUCUGGUCUGCAACUGACGCUGAUGUGCGAAAGCGUGGGGAUCAAACAGGAUUAGAUACCCUGGUAGUCCACGCCGUAAACGAUGAGUGCUAAGUGUUAGGGGGUUUCCGCCCCUUAGUGCUGCAGCUAACGCAUUAAGCACUCCGCCUGGGGAGUACGGUCGCAAGACUGAAACUCAAAGGAAUUGACGGGGACCCGCACAAGCGGUGGAGCAUGUGGUUUAAUUCGAAGCAACGCGAAGAACCUUACCAAAUCUUGACAUCCUUUGACCGCUCUAGAGAUAGAGUUUUCCUCUUCGGAGGACAAAGUGACAGGUGGUGCAUGGUUGUCGUCAGCUCGUGUCGUGAGAUGUUGGGUUAAGUCCCGCAACGAGCGCAACCCUUGAACUUAGUUGCCAUCAUUCAGUUGGGCACUCUAAGUUGACUGCCGGUGACAAACCGGAGGAAGGUGGGGAUGACGUCAAAUCAUCAUGCCCCUUAUGAUUUGGGCUACACACGUGCUACAAUGGACAAUACAA